This 449-nucleotide ribosomal RNA is filed under the name uncultured bacterium. RNAcentral's name for it is "partial 16S ribosomal RNA". It matches the Rfam family "Bacterial small subunit ribosomal RNA", at positions 29 to 523 of the family's 1533-position model. The record is from RNAcentral.
AACGAACGCUGGCGGCAUGCCUAACACAUGCAAGUCGAACGAAGGCUUCGGCCUUAGUGGCGCACGGGUGAGUAACGCGUGGGAAACUGCCUAUUGGUGGGGAAUAACGACGGGAAACUGUCGCUAAUACCGCAUAAGCCCUUCGGGGGAAAGACUUAUCGCCGAUAGAUGUGCCCGCGUCCGAUUAGCUAGUUGGUGAGGUAAUGGCUCACCAAGGCGACGAUCGGUAGCUGGUCUGAGAGGAUGAUCAGCCACACUGGGACUGAGACACGGCCCAGACUCCUACGGGAGGCAGCAGUGGGGAAUAUUGGACAAUGGGCGAAAGCCUGAUCCAGCAAUGCCGCGUGAGUGAUGAAGGCCUUAGGGUUGUAAAGCUCUUUCGGGUGGGACGAUUGUGACGGUACCAGAGGAAUAAGAGCCUGCUAACUACGUGCCAGCCGCCGCCGUAA